UCUGUUCUAAUCAGUGUGAAAACUGAUUUCCACACUUCGGUGUGGUUUUUUUUCACAUUCAUUUUUACAACUUCCGAUAGUCCAGUUGGCUUGCCACUGACUUUUGGACUGGUUUCCGAGGGCCCAGCACUCCUCCCUUGUGAAGCCU
This 148-nucleotide small nuclear RNA is filed under the name Hucho hucho (huchen). Its description in RNAcentral is "U2 spliceosomal RNA (ENSHHUG00000014248.1)". It matches the Rfam family "U2 spliceosomal RNA", at positions 39 to 185 of the family's 192-position model. Rfam says of the family: U2 is a small nuclear RNA (snRNA) component of the spliceosome (involved in pre-mRNA splicing). Complementary binding between U2 snRNA (in an area lying towards the 5' end but 3' to hairpin I) and the branchpoint sequence (BPS) of the intron results the bulging out of an unpaired adenosine, on the BPS, which initiates a nucleophilic attack at the intronic 5' splice site, thus starting the first of two transesterification reactions that mediate splicing. The record is from RNAcentral. Lineage: Eukaryota; Metazoa; Chordata; Actinopteri; Salmoniformes; Salmonidae.